ACUCAAAUGAAUAGACGGGGACCCGCACAAGCGGUGGAGCAUGUGGUUUAAUUCGACGGUAAGCGAGGAACCUUACCCAGUCUUGACAUUUAGCUGCAAGCCCUUAGAGAUAGGGGCCGCCUUCGAGGGUGCUAAACAGGUGCUGCAUGGUUGUCGUCAGCUCGUGGCGUGAGCUGUACGGUUAAGUCCGGUAACGAGCGCAACCCUCGUGCUAUGUUGUUUAUUUCAUAGCAGACUGCCUGCGAAAGCAGGAGGAAGGAGAGGAUGACGUCAAAUCAGCAUGGCUCUUACGACUGGGGCCACACACGUGCUACAAUGGCCGGGACAAUGCGUUGCCAACUCGCAAGAGGGAGCUAAUCGCACCAAACCCGGUCUCAGUUCGGAUUGGAGUCUGCAACUCGACUCCAUGAAGCUGGAAUCGCUAGUAACCGCAAAUCAGCCACGUUGCGGUGAAUACGUUCUCGGGUCUUGUACACACCGCCCGU
Molecule: ribosomal RNA, 485 nt
Filed under: uncultured bacterium
Lineage: Bacteria
Description: partial 16S ribosomal RNA
Rfam family: Bacterial small subunit ribosomal RNA
Source: RNAcentral